AAGAGAAGAGAAGAGAAGAGAAGAGAAGAGAAGAGAAGAGAAGAGAAGAGAAAAAGAGAGAGGGAGAGGGAGGGAGGGAGGGAGGAAGGAAGGGGAAAGACAAGGGGAGAGGUACUUCAAAUUAAAGAGUGAAGGACUGAUCAGGCUGUUUGAAGAGAAACUUUGCCAUAUCUCACACUUUAUCAUCCUUAAGGUGAGGAUAUUAUGUUAUUAAUACCUUAUAAUAAGGUAUAGAUUAUAAAAGUUGGUGAAUUUAGUAUUAAAAGCUCUGGCACUCAAAACCUCAGUGUACAGCAAGCGGAAGGAAUGGGCUGAAGAAGCAGAGAGUACCUCAGAUGACACCGUGUCCCUGGUCUCUGUGCUUAAAAAGUUAGGACCUAAGGAAGGGGCAAUGCAUUUCCUGGGGCACAACGGGGGAGUCUGGGAAACAGGCUAUGCUAAAAAGUGGGCAGGGUACGAGCUGGUCUUAUUACAAACAUUUCUCAGGCACAGCCCUUUGGGGGUCUGUUGAGCUCUGUCUGCAAGGCAGAUCUGUCCACAAAGUCCAGGCCGGAACGUACUGAUUCUUCAGCUGUCCAGGCCAAGGGCUUUCCUGAAACUAACUCUGAGAUGAAUGGUGGAAAUGGAGGAGCCUUCAGUUCUUCUUGUACCUCCUGCUGAAUGUAGACACUAGCUGGGCAUGCAAAACAAGAACAAUUACUACUAAGGGUCCUCAACAAAGAGGUUAUCUAAUGUUAGAUUUGGGAUCACAUAGACAGAAGCCACGUGCUAACCAGCUCUGAAAUAGUUAAACCAAACUAAAACAAAAACGAUCAGUGACCCCCACAAAGCACUUAUAAGAAGCCACACAUCUGGACAGCUUCCUUGGUUGAUGCCUGUCAAUAUCACAUCCCAAACACAGUGAUGCUAAUAGAAAUUUCAACCAGAAAAAUCCCCAAAAAUAGCAUUUGUAAUUUAUGUCUGUGUUUACAGUACCUUUGCAAGAGAAUACAGAAAUAAAAAAUGUCGUGGCUUUAUUAGUGCUCAUAUUUGAAUACCUGUGUUAAAAGCUUCCAUGCAAUAACUUGUAACUACACUUUGUGAUUUACUGAAAGUUUAAACCUUGGGUGGUGGUUCCCAAAUUGUCAAGAUAUUACUUAUAUCAGGCAUUAUCUUUAAACAACAUAAAUAUAAAUAUGUCACUGAAAUAUGCUAAUUCUGUAUGUGUGCACAUGUGUGUUUUGAAAGAUAUAGCAAAAAUACGGUCCCUCAAAAUAUUGCAUCUUGAACUUUUAAUACAAGUUUGAAAAAAAUAUGGAUAUUACUUCGCUGACCUCCUUAGCUGACUUUUAAAAUUAGUUCUAGUUUACUAUCUUUCACUUGCGUCCGUGUGAAGAGACCACCAAACAGGCUUUGUGUGAGCAACAAGGCUGUUUAUUUCACCUGCAGGCGGGCUGAGUCCGAAAAGAGAGUCAGCGAAAGGUGACAGGGGUGGGGCCGUUUUAUAGGAUUUGGGUAGGUAGUGGAAAAUUACAGUCAGAGGGUUGUUCUCUGGUGGGCAGGGGUGGGGGUCACAAGGUGCUCAGUGGGGGAGCUUCUGAGCCAGGAGAAGGAAUUUCACAAGGUAAUGUCAUCAGUUAAGGCAGGAACAGGCCAUUUUCACUUUUGUGAUUCUUCAGUUACUUCAGGCCACCUGGAUGUAUACGUGGAGGUCACAGGGGAUAUGAUGGCUUAGCUUGGGCUCAGAGGCCUGACGCUAUCAAGAUUAAAAUAUCUAUAUUUAUUGAAAGGUUUUUUACACAAUUGAGGGUUUUUUUUUUAAAUAUUUUGAGAUUCUACAUAUACAAAUGUGCAUACAAUCUAUAUAAACAAUCCAAAGAAAAAUUAUGUUGCUAACAUCAGUGUAACCAUUAUUUGAAGAAUAUGCUCUUAAUAAUGUGAUUAAUACUGAAACAGUGUCAAAGUGGUUGAAAGUGUUUUGUACAUGAUCUACAUAUUUAGAUUUUUAAGUUAGUACUUUUAAAUUAUGAGAAAAUAGUGGUGUUUUACAUGACUCUUCAAAAUGAAUGAAUUUAUCUUCAUAAACC
RNAcentral lists this long non-coding RNA (2066 nucleotides) under Homo sapiens (human). Its description in RNAcentral is "HSALNT0340786". The record is from RNAcentral. Lineage: Eukaryota; Metazoa; Chordata; Mammalia; Primates; Hominidae.